Long non-coding RNA from Lactuca sativa (garden lettuce), 2587 nucleotides. RefSeq lists it as uncharacterized. Lineage: Eukaryota; Viridiplantae; Streptophyta; Magnoliopsida; Asterales; Asteraceae. The record is from RefSeq and is a predicted model, not a curated record.
CCAUUUGGUCAAUUCUACUCAUCCUUCAGCAAAAUCAGGAACAUGAUCUUCACCUGUUUAAAAUCCAAAAAUGAGGGAUUUGAAUCGGUGCUCUACUUAUCUUCCGGUCUUCAUUCUCUUCCUGAUUUUCUGUAGUGUUUCCUUAUCUGAUCCCUGAUUUUUUGAAUUCAACAACUCUUAAUCUGUUUUGAAAUCACGAUAAAUUUUUUUUACAAAACAUAAGCUAUCCAAAAUUGAAAUUGAUGGAGCAGGGCUUCUAUGGUAAAAUUCGGUUCAAUACUUGUCCCAUUCAAACCCUCGAUCUGAUCAAUGGUUAAUGGUAAUCCUUAUUCUUCUUCUCUGGAUUCAAGGCGAUGUCUAGGUCAUGAAGCUAUGGCGUCGUCUACACUAUUUAGACCAGACGCAGUUAAGCACAUUCUAUCCUCAUCCCUCUUCCCGGUUGAGCUCUCUGUCAAAGAUAUGGUCAAAAAAUGGGUCAACCUAUUUUUAAAAUUUGAUAAAGUUUAGGUGAAUUCUUUAGAGAAGAUGACGGAGCAAAGGCAAAGGUGAUUUCCACCUAGAUUGCAGGUUUCAGCUAGAGUUGCGAAAGUAUCUUCCACUUAGGAGACAUAAGUAAGAUUUCAAUUUUUAUAAAGAGAGGUAAUUCUUAUCUUUUCUCUGUGGUUUGUUUUGAUUAGGGUUGUUAGUCUUAUUUUCAUAAUUAAUAAGUAUGAUGGGAACAAUAGUUGUGAUGCAAAUAGGCCAGCUCUUUUGCAACUCAGUUGAAUAAAUUCAGUAGGUUUAUUUAUUAGAAGAUGAUUAUGAGUCAGAACCUUGUGAAGCUCUUUGAUUUCAAUUAGCUAUGAUUGUUGAAAAAUCAUUUCAUUACUGAUUCAAAUUUCAAGAUUGCAGCCCUCAAUUUAAGGUAUGCCCGCUAAAAAAUCUACAUAUUUUUUUAUUCCAUUCAAUUCUACCCUUAAAAUCAUGCAUUACAAAUGACUGAGCUAAUUGCCAUCAAUACAAAUUAUAUUCGUGAUACUUUAAAUGGGUAUAUUCUUAAUUUUUGGUGAUCAAAUGUCUGUUAUCAAGGUAAAUUCUUUCUUCAAUCCUUACAGUUUUCUAUCUUUCAAAGUUUACCCAAUUUUUAGUUUCAUUAUGAUUCCAUAUUUAUAGUUAUACAAAGAAUAUGAAAUCGAAUUCAUGACAACAUAUUUGAAACUGAUGGAAGAGAAAUGAUAAGGAAUGAAAACAAAUGAUUUCUCUGUCAAUUUCCAAGUUGGAUUGUGGUUUCUUUAGUUUCAUACUUACAAUUGGCAGCCAAAAAUGAAGCUAUCAUCUUUUUCUUUAAACUCAAAGUGACCAGUAUCACUCGGUUUAUAGAGUGGAGUAUAUGACUGACCUCUGAUUCUGGAUUUUUAAUUAAACAGGUAGGAAGAACGGCUUGUCAGUUUGCUAAGCCUUUUAUAUAACCUAUAUCUUUUUAAUCCAUUUAAAUAAACCUGACAUUAUAUAUUUCUUUUCAUUUCACCUUAGCUAUCAGCUUACAAGAAGCAUGUUGUGGAAAUAUUAGAUGAUAGGUACAUUUUUUCAUUUUUUUUAAAAUAUAUUACAAUCAAAUACAGUCAAUGUAUUUGAUGAAAUUUUCGUUUUCGGUAUGCAAGAAGUUAUAUUCUACUACCCUUGAAGGUGAACCACACAAUCUCCUCUAAUAAAUUGGAUAUUUAUCACUUAACAUACUUUUCUUGUUACGAUUCUAAGCAUAUUUCCAUUUAUUUACCAUAUUACCCUUGGCUUCUGAGUUGACAAGGAUGACCGGGAUUUAGUUGAAGUUAUUUAUAGAGUUAUGACUUGUCUUACUCCUCAGACAUACAUUUCAUCAACUAUCAUGAACUUUUAUAUACGGUAAAUUUAUAAUUUCAUCUUUUAACAAUUAAAAAAAGUAUUUUACAUAUAUACCCUUCAAAAAUAUGUCCAAGUAGCCUACAUGACUUGCUUUUUUUUGGCUAGAUAUCUUCAACAGAUGACAUCAUCAGAAAACAUAUAAGCAAAUUUGCAUAUCUUUUCAAUACAUACUUCUAUAACAAACUCCUAAGGUUAUCCACUUUUAAGUACUUCUCUAAAUUAUCUUUGUUUACUAAUUUUUAGAGUUAAAUGCAAGAAUUAGCAACAUACUUAAUUACUUAUGCUGAUUUGUUUAUUAUAGCAUCUUAUUUUUAUUCCUCUUUAUUAUAGCAUUCUACUUAGAAAUUUUAACUCAGUUAGAGCAUAUUCAUCCACAUAUUUGCUUAAUUUUUUUUAUUGUUGAUUGAAAUUUGUUUGUUGAUUUUUAGGUGUGUGAAGAAGUGGGUCAACCUAUAUGCCAAAGACUACAAAAACUCAAAAAAGACUAUUGGGUAUGGAUUGUGUGUCUACUGUGAUUUUGGUUGUAUGUUUUAAACAAAGGUAAAAGAAGCUAAAGAGUAAAUUUUUAGUUAGGAAUUAAUUUCAGCGUAAAUGAUUUUACACUUGCUUUAAAAUUUAAAAUUAUUUCUAUCAUUUUAAGACGACAUGAGUUAAAUUUGAUUCUUACAGUGUAAAUGUAUGAUUAAUUUGAACUGCUUGGAAGGAA